GUGCCAGCCGCCGCGGUAAUACGGAGGGUGCAAGCGUUAAUCGGAAUUACUGGGCGUAAAGAGCGCGUAGGUGGUUACUUAAGUCAGAUGUGAAAGCCCUGGGCUCAACCUGGGAAUUGCAUUUGAUACUGGGUAGCUAGAAUAUGGUAGAGGGUAGCGGAAUUUCUGGUGUAGCGGUGAAAUGCGUAGAUAUCAGAAGGAACAUCAAUGGCGAAGGCAGCUACCUGGGCCGAUAUUGACGCUGAGGCGCGAAAGCGUGGGGAGCAAACAGGAUUAGAUACCCUGGUAGUCCACGCCGUAAACGAUGACAACUUGUUGAUGGGAAGGUUACUUUUCGUUGACGGAGCUAACGCAUUAAGUUGUCCGCCUGGGGAGUACGGUCGCAAGGCUGAAACUCAAAUAAAUUGGCGG
Molecule: ribosomal RNA, 411 nt
Filed under: uncultured bacterium
Lineage: Bacteria
Description: bacterial SSU rRNA
Rfam family: Bacterial small subunit ribosomal RNA
Source: RNAcentral